CUGAAAUAAAUCAACGAGACAGGAAAGGCUCUGAGAUGCUUAUUCCAGUGAUGGUGCUGUGUGCAACAGCACUUUCAUUUUUUCUUGAUCCAGCCGUGGAGACCCAGUUUUAAGUUUAGGGAAAUUGGGAUGCCAGUCGUGGCCCUGUCAGCUGCAUCCCUUGUUCUCAGCAGGGAACUCCUUUGUUCAACCUCUUCACACUCCAGCUUGUCUGCAUGACAUGCUGCGUGCCAGGUCAAUAUAUUUUAUUUCUUCUUGUGUCUCCAUCCUGCUCUUUCACAUCCUCUGAUAAGGGUUUGGUACGUCCUCCUUAAAUUUAACACGGUAUUCCCUAAUUGUCCUCCAGUGCUCUGGUUUGUGUCACAGUUUUAUACAUAAUAUAAUAUAUAUAAUAUCACUUGGACAGGUUGGUCAGCGGAUGGUCUUACACUAUUUUUAGUUACACAAAAGCCUUUUUUACAUCUGAUGUUUUGCUAAGGUCUAUAACACAGCGUUGGAAUGCCAGGCUCUUUCUUGCACCAAGGUCAGGGAGAUAACAAAACCAGACACCAAGAUCCCAAGAAAAGAAUUAUUGCCUCCUUAUUGGGAAAGUUCAGACUUUGAGGAACCAAGAAGGUUGAUUUACAAGAUGGGGGGAAGCUGAAAUUAAGCAGAAAUACCCUGUUUUGAAAGGAAUGUUUGAAUCAUGUAUGAAAUAUAUGAAUAUGCAAAAGGCUACAGCUUUUAUGGGGUAAUCCUUUGUUAGCAAGGUGUGCUCUGUGGCAGAGUACCAGGCACCCAGACAUCUGUAAUUCUUUUUUAUUGUCUCUUAUUGUCCUAAUUUUUGUUACUAUUUUCAUUACUGCUUUCAUUACUAUUAAACUUCUAAAAUUUUAACACAAGUGAA
This is a long non-coding RNA of Melospiza melodia melodia, 886 nucleotides long. RefSeq lists it as uncharacterized. The record is from RefSeq and is a predicted model, not a curated record. NCBI's taxonomy places the organism in Eukaryota, Metazoa, Chordata, Aves, Passeriformes, Passerellidae. The transcript has 2 exons.